Molecule: ribosomal RNA, 510 nt
Filed under: uncultured bacterium
Lineage: Bacteria
Description: bacterial SSU rRNA
Rfam family: Bacterial small subunit ribosomal RNA
Source: RNAcentral
UAGUCCACGCCGUAGACGAUGUCAACUAGCCGUCGGGCUCAUUAUAAGGGUUUGGUGGCGCAGCUAACGCGAUAAGUUGACCGCCUGGGGAGUACGCCGGCAACGGUAAAACUCAAAGGAAUUGACGGGGGCCCGCACAAGCGGUGGAGCAUGUGGUUUAAUUCGAUGCAACGCGAAGAACCUUACCAGGGCUUAAAUGCAGAGCGACCGUUCUGGAAACAGAACUUUCUUCGGACGGUUUGCAAGGUGCUGCAUGGUUGUCGUCAGCUCGUGCCGUGAGGUGUCGGGUUAAGCCCCAUAACGAGCGCAACCCCUAUUUUCAGUUGCCAGCAUGUAAUGAUGGGGACUCUGGAAAGACUGCCUACGCAAGUAGAGAGGAAGGCGGGGACGACGUCAAAUCAUCAUGGCCUUUAUGCCUAGGGCUACACACGUGCUACAAUGGCAGGUACAAAGGGUAGCGAAGCCGCGAGGUGGAGCCAAUCUCAUAAAGCCUGUCCCAGUUCGGAUCGG